This 375-nucleotide ribosomal RNA is filed under the name uncultured bacterium. RNAcentral's name for it is "bacterial SSU rRNA". It matches the Rfam family "Bacterial small subunit ribosomal RNA", at positions 523 to 898 of the family's 1533-position model. The record is from RNAcentral.
AUACGUAGGGGGCAAGCGUUAUCCGGAUUUACUGGGUGUAAAGGGUGCGUAGGUGGCAUGGUAAGUUAGAUGUGAAAGCCCAAGGCUCAACCUUGGGAUUGCAUCUAAAACUGCCAAGCUAGAGUGCAGGAGAGGAAAGUAGAAUUCCUAGUGUAGCGGUGAAAUGCGUAGAUAUUAGGAGGAACACCAGUAGCGAAGGCGGCUUUCUGGACUGUAACUGACACUGAGGCACGAAAGCGUGGGUAGCAAACAGGAUUAGAUACCCUGGUAGUCCACGCCGUAAACGAUGAAUGCUAGGUGUUGGCCCUUACGGGGGUCGGUGCCGAAGUUAACACAUUAAGCAUUCCACCUGGGGAGUACGUUCGCAAGAAUGAA